Molecule: long non-coding RNA, 1091 nt
Filed under: Olea europaea (common olive)
Lineage: Eukaryota; Viridiplantae; Streptophyta; Magnoliopsida; Lamiales; Oleaceae
Description: long non-coding RNA (OEUR_LNC002606)
Source: RNAcentral
UACUGAAAGAAAAAACAUUAAAACCUAAAAAAAGGGAAAAGAACAUGCCUCGAUGCAGCUGAAGAAAGUAAAUUACCUAUACGAGACCAAAUAUCCAAAGCACUUAGCACACGCCCCUACCCUUGUAUGAAAGUGCCUACCUUGAUAACGGGUCAUAAAAUGAUUUGGUUUAUUAGAAGGCAAGGCCAUUACUGGUCAGCUUACCGAUGGAAUGAACGAAAUAUGAACAAUUAACAUAAUAUGGUCAUAGAUAUUAAGUUAUAGCUUAAUAGUCGAUGUUUCACCAAAAUCAUUUCAAGACAACUUGACAUGGACGGCAGUCUAUUGGUUUCCAUAAUAGAAUUGGGGAAAAAUGAAAUUGUAAGUUGAGUUGUGAAAUUGAAACAAUUACAAAUUAAGUGACUAAAAUGAGUAAGUUUGAUAAAUGGCUUAUUUAUUUAUAAAUUUGAAGACUACAAACUGUUCUCGUGCAAAUUUCGCAACCAUACAUCAUGAUAAGCAAACUAGAUAGUUCAUGCAUUAAUUGUUUUGUUGAUAAACACAUCUAGGUUUAUCAACUUAGACCAAGACAAUUUUCAUACAUAGUUUUCGACGAGCAAAAUCUACCAGGUUGAUGAUUUCAUCAUCAUCAACGAGCCCAUCGCCAUCUUUAUCGGCUUUCCCGAUGGCGUAUUCACUCUUCAUACCCUUAAACCAGCUCUCUCUUUUGGCGUCGCGAAAGGCAUCGUGGAGUUCCUUGCUGCUUAUCUUCCCAUCGUUGUUCUUGUCAUACUUCAUCAACCAUUCUUUGAACUGUUUCAAAUUCAUCCCUCCAUUUCCAGGAACUCUGACACCAUGAUUACUCACCAUCUCUUUGUGCGUCCUACCUUGUCAUGAGUCUUAUGACUUGUGACCUCCCUCAUAUUUAUAGUAUUAUCAUCCUACCUUGUUUUGCCUUCUUUUUGAGGGUUGGGNNNNNNNNNNNNNNNNNNNNNNNNNNNNNGGGGGGGGGGGGGGGGGGGGGGGGGGGAUUAGUGUUGUUUUUCUUGGUUCUUCUCUUGCUAAAUUAAUUGGUUACACAAAAAUUUUUGAUAGAGAUGUUUCCAGUUCUG